Molecule: ribosomal RNA, 447 nt
Filed under: uncultured bacterium
Lineage: Bacteria
Description: bacterial SSU rRNA
Rfam family: Bacterial small subunit ribosomal RNA
Source: RNAcentral
UCCAGACUCCUACGGGAGGCAGCAGUGGGGGAUAUUGCGCAAUGGGGGGAACCCUGAUGCAGCGACGCCGCGUGGGUGAAGAAGCGCCUCGGCGCGUAAAGCCCUGUCAGCAGGGAAGAAAAUGACGGUACCUGACUAAGAAGCCCCGGCUAACUACGUGCCAGCAGCCGCGGUAAUACGUAGGGGGCAAGCGUUAUCCGGAUUUACUGGGUGUAAAGGGAGCGUAGACGGCUGUGCAAGCCAGAUGUGAAAGCCCGGGGCUCAACCCCGGGACUGCAUUUGGAACUGCGUGGCUUGAGUGUCGGAGAGGCAGGCGGAAUUCCUAGUGUAGCGGUGAAAUGCGUAGAUAUUAGGAGGAACACCAGUGGCGAAGGCGGCCUGCUGGACGAUGACUGACGUUGAGGCUCGAAAGCGUGGGGAGCAAACAGGAUUAGAUACCCGUGUAAA